AGUGCGCCGGUGUUAUGGGGGAAAAACAUAAGAAAGCGUGCAAGAAAAGUUUCUGGUGAUACACGUAUAAAAGAGACGCGGCGUUCAGGGGAAGGAUUACAGGCAAAAAAAGAGAAAGCGAUCGACGGCGAGGACAAACACGGAUAACAAUUGGUGAAGCUUUUCCUCGCUGGAGAGCGCUGAAAGAACAGGAGGGACUGAGAGCAGACAGGGAACUAGCGUUACUGCUCUUGGACAGGCCACUGGAAAACAAGAGUGCGGCGUGGUCUUUCUGCUGUGUGGGAACUACUUUUUCCUCCGCGCUGACGAGAAACCAGACAAGAGGACUGCAGUGAAGUUGGGUUUAAAUUGUCUGACGCUGUGACUCGCGGAUGCGCAACGUCUGUCGUUGAUGAAAGUAUGAAUGUCUUUUAGAAGUCUGUUCCACAUUUUAUUUGCUACUGCCUCAUGCAGCUGAUUUGUGGAUAAGUUGUUUUUGUUUUAAGGUGCACAAUAGGUGGUUUAAUAAAUGGAGUAGCGUUGCAUGACGGUUAAAAAGCACUACUUUACUCCAGUGAAUCACAAAUGCUAAUUUUAUUCCUGCAAGAUUUAAUAAAAAUAUGUAGCCUA
Long non-coding RNA from Micropterus dolomieu (smallmouth bass), 609 nucleotides. RefSeq lists it as uncharacterized. The transcript has 2 exons. NCBI's taxonomy places the organism in Eukaryota, Metazoa, Chordata, Actinopteri, Centrarchiformes, Centrarchidae. The record is from RefSeq and is a predicted model, not a curated record.